This 322-nucleotide ribosomal RNA is filed under the name uncultured bacterium. RNAcentral describes it as "bacterial SSU rRNA". It matches the Rfam family "Bacterial small subunit ribosomal RNA", at positions 28 to 334 of the family's 1533-position model. The record is from RNAcentral.
GAUGAACGCUGGCGGCGUGCUUAACACAUGCAAGUCGAGCGAAGCACUUAAGUUUGAUUCUUCGGAUGAAGACUUUUGUGACUGAGCGGCGACGGGUGAGGUACGCGUAGGUAACUGCCUCAUACAGGGGGAUAACAGUUAGAAAUGGCUGCUAAUACCGCAUAAGACCACAGUACUGCAUGGUACAGUGGUAAAAACUCCGGUGGUAUGAGAUGGACCCGCGUCUGAUUAGCUAGUUGGUAAGGUAACGGCUUACCAAGGCGACGAUCAGUAGCCGACCUGAGAGGGUGACCGGCCACAUUGGGACUGAGACACGGCCCAA